This 322-nucleotide ribosomal RNA is filed under the name uncultured Prevotella sp. RNAcentral's name for it is "bacterial SSU rRNA". It matches the Rfam family "Bacterial small subunit ribosomal RNA", at positions 28 to 339 of the family's 1533-position model. The record is from RNAcentral. Lineage: Bacteria; Pseudomonadati; Bacteroidota; Bacteroidia; Bacteroidales; Prevotellaceae.
GAUGAACGCUAGCUACAGGCUUAACACAUGCAAGUCGAGGGGUAACAUUGGCUGAGCUUGCUCAGCCAGAUGACGACCGGCGCACGGGUGAGUAACGCGUAUCCAACCUGCCCAUGGGUCAGGGAUAAACUCCCGAAAGGGAGCCUAAUACCUGAUGUUGUGAGAAGAAGGCCUCUGAUUUUCACGAAAGACUUCGGUCGCCGAUGGAUGGGGAUGCGUACGAUUAGGCAGCAGGCGGGGUAACGGCCCACCUGGCCAACGAUCGUUAGGGGUUCUGAGAGGAAGGUCCCCCACACUGGUACUGAGACACGGACCAGACUCC